Potamilus streckersoni is the source of this 77-nucleotide non-coding RNA. The record is from the annotation of a GenBank genome assembly. NCBI's taxonomy places the organism in Eukaryota, Metazoa, Mollusca, Bivalvia, Unionida, Unionidae.
GGCUGCUCCAGUGACCUAGUAGUUAGAGCAUCCACCUUGGAUGCGGGAGGUCAUUGGUUUGAAUCCCAGCUGAGUCA